AGGAGAUUGCUGAAGGACUAGAUAAGAUUCUAAAGGGAUUGCAGGGUAUUUUGGAUGAAUACAAAUUAACCAAACACAUCCUGAAAUCCAUUUGCGCAGCAUUAGACUGCAUACGGACAUCAAAGUUGACAAAAAUCCGAAUCAAGG
Molecule: long non-coding RNA, 147 nt
Organism: Bufo bufo (common toad)
Lineage: Eukaryota; Metazoa; Chordata; Amphibia; Anura; Bufonidae
Exons: 3
Source: RefSeq, a predicted model, not a curated record